CACGUAGGGUGCGAGCGUUGUCCGGAAUUAUUGGGCGUAAAGAGCUCGUAGGCGGCUUGUCGCGUCGACUGUGAAAACCCACGGCUUAACUGUGGGCUUGCAGUCGAUACGGGCAGGCUAGAGUUCGGUAGGGGAGACUGGAAUUCCUGGUGUAGCGGUGAAAUGCGCAGAUAUCAGGAGGAACACCGGUGGCGAAGGCGGGUCUCUGGGCCGAUACUGACGCUGAGGAGCGAAAGCGUGGGGAGCGAACAGG
This 253-nucleotide ribosomal RNA is filed under the name uncultured bacterium. Its description in RNAcentral is "partial 16S ribosomal RNA". It matches the Rfam family "Bacterial small subunit ribosomal RNA", at positions 524 to 776 of the family's 1533-position model. The record is from RNAcentral.